GCUCGGUUAGCUCAGUUGGUUAGAGCGUCGUACUAAUAUUAUGUGCUUAUGGGCAUAACAUUGGUAAUGCGAAGGUCAUGAGUUCGACCCUCAUACUGAGCA
Non-coding RNA from Poronia punctata, 102 nucleotides. Lineage: Eukaryota; Fungi; Ascomycota; Sordariomycetes; Xylariales; Xylariaceae. The record is from the annotation of a GenBank genome assembly.